This 311-nucleotide long non-coding RNA is filed under the name Columba livia (rock pigeon). RNAcentral's name for it is "partial uncharacterized LOC102083437, transcript variant X1". The record is from RNAcentral. Lineage: Eukaryota; Metazoa; Chordata; Aves; Columbiformes; Columbidae.
AUUUGAAUCUCUGCCUGAGGAAAGCCGAGCCUGGGCAUCGUCGUGGAGAUUAUCUGAUUGUUCUUUGGAUUUAAUGCCGUGAGAAAUCUUGCUUUAAUCACAGCACCUGGCUUCCAGCGAGGAUUCUGCUCUUAGUUGAUUUGCAUGCUGGGGUACGGUGGCACACAGAAGGUCAAAUGACGUGUCCGAGGUCUCAAGAUUCAGAGGGGUAAGCCAGCUUCCAGCCUACACUGCUCAGAAUUGUUUUUCUCAGCUCUGUCAACGCCUCUGAGCUCCUCGCUGCAAGCAAGAGGACAGGGUCACCCCGAGCC